GACGUAGGGCGCGAGCGUUGUCCGGAUUUAUUGGGCGUAAAGAGCUCGUAGGCGGCUUGUCGCGUCGACUGUGAAAACCCGUGGCUCAACCAUGUGGUCUGCAGUCGAUACGGACAGGCUAGAAUUCGGUAGGGGAGACUGGAAUUCCUGGUGUAGCGGUGAAAUGCGCAGAUAUCAGGAGGAACACCGGUGGCGAAGGCGGGUCUCUGGGCCGAUAUUGACGCUGAGGAGCGAAAGCGUGGGGAGCGAACAGG
RNAcentral lists this ribosomal RNA (254 nucleotides) under uncultured bacterium. Its description in RNAcentral is "partial 16S ribosomal RNA". It matches the Rfam family "Bacterial small subunit ribosomal RNA", at positions 524 to 776 of the family's 1533-position model. The record is from RNAcentral.